Long non-coding RNA from Octopus sinensis (East Asian common octopus), 117 nucleotides. RefSeq lists it as uncharacterized. The transcript has 3 exons. The record is from RefSeq and is a predicted model, not a curated record. Lineage: Eukaryota; Metazoa; Mollusca; Cephalopoda; Octopoda; Octopodidae.
GUAUGUAUGUAUGUAGAAGAUAGACCGAGGAAGAUGUGGGCUGAAGUGGUGAAGACUGACCUCAAGAUGUUGAACCUCUCAGAGGAGAUGACAGGGAACUGAAAUGAAUGGUGACAU